UGAGUAAUGUCUGGGAAACUGCCUGAUGGAGGGGGAUAACUACUGGAAACGGUAGCUAAUACCGCAUAACGUCGCAAGACCAAAGAGGGGGACCUUCGGGCCUCUUGCCAUCAGAUGUGCCCAGAUGGGAUUAGCUAGUAGUUGGGGUAAUGGCUCACCUAGGCGACGAUCCCUAGCUGGUCUGAGAGGAUGACCAGCCACACUGGAACUGAGACACGGUCCAGACUCCUACGGGAGGCAGCAGUGGGGAAUAUUGCACAAUGGGCGCAAGCCUGAUGCAGCCAUGCCGCGUGUGUGAAGAAGGCCUUCGGGUUGUAAAGCACUUUCAGCGAGGAGGAAGGUGGUGAACUUAAUACGUUCAUCAAUUGACGUUACUCGCAGAAGAAGCACCGGCUAACUCCGUGCCAGCAGCCGCGGUAAUACGGAGGGUGCAAGCGUUAAUCGGAAUUACUGGGCGUAAAGCGCACGCAGGCGGUUUGUUAAGUCAGAUGUGAAAUCCCCGGG
This 504-nucleotide ribosomal RNA is filed under the name uncultured bacterium. RNAcentral describes it as "bacterial SSU rRNA". It matches the Rfam family "Bacterial small subunit ribosomal RNA", at positions 107 to 607 of the family's 1533-position model. The record is from RNAcentral.